Molecule: long non-coding RNA, 476 nt
Organism: Phlebotomus papatasi
Lineage: Eukaryota; Metazoa; Arthropoda; Insecta; Diptera; Psychodidae
Exons: 2
Source: RefSeq, a predicted model, not a curated record
UCUCACACUUUUUCCCAAACUAUCGCUGUCAAAAGCCGGAGCGUCCAACACAACUCUCUUGGUAAAAAUCAAGUUUUUCAUUGAAUUUUAAAGUUAUUUCGUGAACUUGGCCAUUUCUAUUAAAGAGAACAGCAACUGAGGGGGCAACUGAAGUAUUUGUUGCCCCUUUCUGAAUUUUCGCAAUGCUUAUUGCCACUUUCUACUAAGAUACUAUUGAAAGUCUUCAGGGAGAGUCCAAUGCAGAGAAUCAUCUAACAGUCUGGAUUCUUUAUACUUCAAGGUAACCCUUCAAACAUUUGAUGGGCAUUUUUAAGGCGUCCUAGCGUGAAUUGAAGCAGUUUACAAGCUGCUCAAAAUGAAGCAUUUUGUAAAAAGAAAACCAAUCCUAAUAUUUAGAUAAAUUUAAAUCUGAUGUAAAUUGAUGUGAAAUAAAUAUGAGGAAAGAAGUAUUGUAAGAGAUUUAUUUUAAAAUUAUU